This 253-nucleotide ribosomal RNA is filed under the name uncultured bacterium. Its description in RNAcentral is "partial 16S ribosomal RNA". It matches the Rfam family "Bacterial small subunit ribosomal RNA", at positions 524 to 776 of the family's 1533-position model. The record is from RNAcentral.
UACGGGGGGGGCAAGCGUUGUUCGGAAUUACUGGGCGUAAAGGGCGCGUAGGCGGCCUGCUAAGUCGGGUGUGAAAACUCUGGGCUCAACCCAGAGCCUGCACUCGAAACUGACGGGCUUGAGUUCUGGAGGGGAAAGCGGAAUUCCUGGUGUAGCGGUGAAAUGCGUAGAUAUCAGGAGGAACACCGGUGGCGAAGGCGGCUUUCUGGACAGAAACUGACGCUGAGGCGCGAAAGCUAGGGGAGCAAACAGG